This 729-nucleotide ribosomal RNA is filed under the name uncultured bacterium. Its description in RNAcentral is "bacterial SSU rRNA". It matches the Rfam family "Bacterial small subunit ribosomal RNA", at positions 771 to 1500 of the family's 1533-position model. The record is from RNAcentral.
AACCGGAUUAGAUACCCUGGUAGUCCACGCCGUAAACGAUGUCGACUUGGAGGCUGUUCCCUUGAGGAGUGGCUUCCGGAGCUAACGCGUUAAGUCGACCGCCUGGGGAGUACGGCCGCAAGGUUAAAACUCAAAUGAAUUGACGGGGGCCCGCACAAGCGGUGGAGCAUGUGGUUUAAUUCGAUGCAACGCGAAGAACCUUACCUACUCUUGACAUCCAGAGAACUUUCCAGAGAUGGAUUGGUGCCUUCGGGAACUCUGAGACAGGUGCUGCAUGGCUGUCGUCAGCUCGUGUUGUGAAAUGUUGGGUUAAGUCCCGCAACGAGCGCAACCCUUAUCCUUUGUUGCCAGCGAUUCGGUCGGGAACUCAAAGGAGACUGCCGGUGAUAAACCGGAGGAAGGUGGGGAUGACGUCAAGUCAUCAUGGCCCUUACGAGUAGGGCUACACACGUGCUACAAUGGCGCAUACAAAGAGAAGCGACCUCGCGAGAGCAAGCGGACCUCAUAAAGUGCGUCGUAGUCCGGAUCGGAGUCUGCAACUCGACUCCGUGAAGUCGGAAUCGCUAGUAAUCGUGGAUCAGAAUGCCACGGUGAAUACGUUCCCGGGCCUUGUACACACCGCCCGUCACACCAUGGGAGUGGGUUGCAAAAGAAGUAGGUAGCUUAACCUUCGGGAGGGCGCUUACCACUUUGUGAUUCAUGACUGGGGUGAAGUCGUAACAAGGUAGC